Molecule: ribosomal RNA, 498 nt
Filed under: uncultured bacterium
Lineage: Bacteria
Description: bacterial SSU rRNA
Rfam family: Bacterial small subunit ribosomal RNA
Source: RNAcentral
GAUGAACGCUAGCGGUAGGCUUAACACAUGCAAGUCGAGGGGCAGCACGGUAGCAAUACUGGUGGCGACCGGCGCACGGGUGAGUAACGCGUAUGCAAUCUACCUUUAACUGGGGCAUAGCUUCGAGAAAUCGGAAUUAAUACCCCAUAAUAUUCACGAAUCGCAUGGUUUGUGAAUUAAAGCUCCGGCGGUUAAAGAUGAGCAUGCGUGACAUUAGUUUGUUGGUGAGGUAACGGCUCACCAAGACUACGAUGUCUAGGGGGUCUGAGAGGAUGGUCCCCCACACUGGUACUGAGACACGGACCAGACUCCUACGGGAGGCAGCAGUGAGGAAUAUUGGUCAAUGGGCGCAAGCCUGAACCAGCCAUACCGCGUGAAGGAUGAAGGCUCUAGUAGUUGUAAACUUCUUUUAUAUGGGAAGAAACCUACUCUCGUGAGAGUAGUUGACGGUACCAUAAGAAUAAGCACCGGCUAACUCCGUGCCAGCAGCCGCGGUAA